UACGUAGGGUGCAAGCGUUGUCCGGAAUUAUUGGGCGUAAAGAGCUCGUAGGCGGUCUGUCGCGUCUGCUGUGAAAACUCGGGGCUUAACCCCGGGCCUGCAUUCGAUACGGGCAGACUAGAGUUCGGUAGGGGAGUCUGGAAUUCCUGGUGUAGCGGUGAAAUGCGCAGAUAUCAGGAGGAACACCAAUGGCGAAGGCAGCUCGCUGGGACGGUACUGACGCUGAGGCGCGAAAGCGUGGGGAGCAAACAGG
RNAcentral lists this ribosomal RNA (253 nucleotides) under uncultured bacterium. Its description in RNAcentral is "partial 16S ribosomal RNA". It matches the Rfam family "Bacterial small subunit ribosomal RNA", at positions 524 to 776 of the family's 1533-position model. The record is from RNAcentral.